RNAcentral lists this ribosomal RNA (169 nucleotides) under uncultured bacterium. Its description in RNAcentral is "partial 16S rRNA". It matches the Rfam family "Bacterial small subunit ribosomal RNA", at positions 338 to 524 of the family's 1533-position model. The record is from RNAcentral.
CCUACGGGAGGCAGCAGUGGGGAAUAUUGGACAAUGGGCGCAAGCCUGAUCCAGCCAUGCCGCGUGAGUGAUGAAGGCCUUCGGGUUGUAAAGCUCUUUCGRCCGGCAAGAUGAUGACGGGACCGGGAGAAGAAGCCCCGGCUAACUUCGUGCCAUCAGCCGCGGUAAU